This 305-nucleotide ribosomal RNA is filed under the name uncultured bacterium. RNAcentral describes it as "bacterial SSU rRNA". It matches the Rfam family "Bacterial small subunit ribosomal RNA", at positions 335 to 658 of the family's 1533-position model. The record is from RNAcentral.
GCUACCUCGGGGCGCAGCAGUGGGGAAUAUUGCACAAUGGGCGAAAGCCUGAUGCAGCAACGCCGCGUGAGCGAUGAAGGCCUUCGGGUCGUAAAGCUCUGUCCUCAAGGAAGAUAACGACGGUACUUGAGGAGGAAGCCCCGGCUAACUACGUGCCAGCAGCCGCGGUAAUACGUAGGGGGCUAGCGUUAUCCGGAAUUACUGGGCGUAAAGGGUGCGUAGGUGGUUUCUUAAGUCAGAGGUGAAAGGCUACGGCUCAACCGUAGUAAGCCUUCGAAACUGGGGAACUUGAGUGCAGGAGGGGG